Molecule: ribosomal RNA, 519 nt
Filed under: uncultured bacterium
Lineage: Bacteria
Description: bacterial SSU rRNA
Rfam family: Bacterial small subunit ribosomal RNA
Source: RNAcentral
AAUCAACGCUGGCGGCGUGCCUCAGACAUGCAAGUCGAACGCGAAAUUUCCCUUCGGGGAGAAAGUAGAGUGGCGCACGGGUGAGUAACACGUAGGUAAUCUACCUUUGGAUGGGGAAUAACACCGAGAAAUCGGUGCUAAUACCGCAUAAUGCAGCGGCACCUAAUGGUGACAGUUGUUAAAGCGGGGGAUCGCAAGACCUCGCGUCUAAAGAGGAGCCUGCGGCGGAUUAGCUAGUUGGUAAGGUAAUGGCUUACCAAGGCGACGAUCCGUAACCGGCCUGAGAGGGCGGUCGGUCACACUGACACUGACAUACGGGUCAGACUCCUACGGGAGGCAGCAGUCGGGAAUUUUGGACAAUGGGCGAAAGCCUGACCCAGCAACGCCGCGUGAAGGAUGAAAUCCCUCGGGAUGUAAACUUCGCAAGAACGGGAAGAAUAAGCCGGUGUGAAUACCACCGGCGAUGACGGUACCGUUUGUAAGCUCCGGCUAACUCCGUGCCAGCAGCCGCGGUAAUAC